AAUACCAUAAGGCAUGGAGUUUCAAUUACCAGAAAGCUCUUGAAGCCUCUGGCAAUCCACCAAGUAAGCGAAACCAUAAGCUAGAGUCUUCAACGUAGCCUCAUGUAGCUCCAAGUCCACUGUCGCCGUCGCAUCGGUGGAGAAGAACACUCUAUAUCCUCUCACAAACGCCUCACGCGCCGUCGUCUCGCAGCAACAGUUCGUCAUAACCCCUGUCACG
This 220-nucleotide unclassified non-coding RNA is filed under the name Hevea brasiliensis (rubber tree). Lineage: Eukaryota; Viridiplantae; Streptophyta; Magnoliopsida; Malpighiales; Euphorbiaceae. The record is from RNAcentral.